AAAAAGGUAAGCUAAUAAAGCUUUUAGGUUCAUACCCUAAAUAUGUGGGUAAACUCCCCCCCUUCUUA
This 68-nucleotide transfer RNA is filed under the name Ischnobaenella hainana. RNAcentral's name for it is "tRNA-Met". It matches the Rfam family "tRNA". From Rfam's summary of the family: Transfer RNA (tRNA) molecules are approximately 80 nucleotides in length. Their secondary structure includes four short double-helical elements and three loops (D, anti-codon, and T loops). Lineage: Eukaryota; Metazoa; Arthropoda; Insecta; Hemiptera; Reduviidae. The record is from RNAcentral.